Petromyzon marinus (sea lamprey) is the source of this 3120-nucleotide long non-coding RNA. RefSeq lists it as uncharacterized. The record is from RefSeq and is a predicted model, not a curated record. NCBI's taxonomy places the organism in Eukaryota, Metazoa, Chordata, Hyperoartia, Petromyzontiformes, Petromyzontidae.
UCAAAGGGGUUUCCAGCGCAGGUUGUCACGGGGUGACGAGACCGAAUCCCACCCGAAUCGCGCAGCAGGCCCCGGUGCCCAUCUGUCGACGCGAGAGUCCCCGCGCCUCCUCGCGGUUCAUCUGUGACGCGUGCCGCCCGGAGGGGCCUUCUUGUGCAAUGGGCCGCACAUGAGAGCCGUGGAAAUCGAGCGGGCCGAUUAUUAUUUUUUUGGUAACGCGUCCAAAUCCUGCGAUAAUCGUUCCGCGGGAUGUUUGUCAGCCCAACUGGAAGACACCCCCCCCCCCCCCUUUCCCUCCCUCCUAUUGUCAUGCUGGUCAUGGGGCGUUGCUUGAUCGAACCGAGUUGUACCACGUUGAUCAGCGUGGGUUGUUGAAGUCAGCUGUGGGGAGAGGGGGGGGGGGGUGGUAAGAGUCUUCUUCUUCUUCUUCCAUACGGCUGCUGAUGUCGAUGCAGGAACGACGACGACAAUUUCACAUUCAGGUGGCCAAGCACGGCGACCGCGUCGAGAGCAGCGGAGUGGCGUCGCUGUGAUGACUUCUUUCGUGUUUGUGCGUUGGGCCAUCGUGACGUCGCGUGUUGUGCAGAUGUUUGUUGAAAAAGAGGAUCUCUGACCUCACUGGGCUUCACGGAUCGACUACAACUGCCAUGCCACCACAGUCCUAACCGCUUUUCUAGAUUUUUUUCCCCCUGGCAGUGAGAGGCUCCCGCUGCAUGGCAAGAUGCGGGGGGAAAACCGGGCUUGACGCUUUACAACCGGCCAUUCGUCACGACGUAAAUGCAGACUUCAACAACAACAACAAGAACAACAAAAAACUCCACAUCGUUGGAAGUUCUUUGCCAUCUCGCAACGCGUGUCACUUUUACGGCACGAAACAGUAAAGAAGAUGACUAAAAUGUCUCGUGUUCUACGGUGUAUAUAUCUAUUUUUUUAUAAUCGUGUGUCAUUUACGCAAUGUCCUAAAUCUAGAUUUUUAUCGCAACGAAGUAUGUGAUCUUUAAACUCAAAAAUUAUCACUUUGGUGGUUACACACAAGACGCUUUUCAACUCGUUCUGUUUUUUUCCAACGCCUCCUCCCUUGAUCCAUGAUGUGACAAUCGUUGUCAUCUUUUCCUACGACCACACCAUGGUUUUAAUGUGCGCUGAUGUUAAAUUACAACACCGGUUGUUGCAUUUUUUGGUUUUGACGCGUGGAUGAUCCACAGAGCCCAAAAAGUCGUUAUUUUAAUUCUCCGCCACCAAACAAUUGCAAAUAGUAACUCUCGACCCAGUUUAUGACAAGGCCAAAACAGGGAGUGGAAAAUAAGAAUUUGGUUUUACCCUUUGUUGAAAUAAAACAGGCGUUAACAUGUUCAAACACCAAACAGAUGCAUAUUGCAAGGCAUCACGUCUGCAUUCACCACACCUACGUGCGGUUAAAAAUGCAAACAAACAUGACAGAAUGUAACGGGCAAAAAACAGUUGUCCAUCCGAAUGCUUCAGCCACAUGAUUUCAGGUAUCCCAUGUACAUGGAACCCAUGAGCACACUGCAGUGUCAAGAUGUAAACUCCCUCAGCUGGUAUGCAGGAGGUCGUGGGUUCGAUACCGACCCUGCGCCCACGGUAUAUUUGGAGUUUGCAUCUCCUCCCAAUGGUCGCGUGGCGACGGUUUUUUUCCCUCCGCAUUUAGGAACAUGCGUUCUGAGUAUAUUUGGCUGCAAUUCAUUUCUUAGGUGAUAAGCCACUUCGUUGAGCUGUCAUUUGUGGCCGGGUCGCUUAUGAGACAGAGCUAAAUAGCUCAGUGGGCUUUACCUGAUAAAAUAUAAUAGUAGCUGUUGUUUUGCAUGCAGCACACUGCUCUACAACUGGAUUACCCUCGUAUAAGAGGAUAACGAUCUCUGGAUGAUGCCACUUUUUGGUGCUCAAUAGCCACUCCGUUAUACAAUCUUUUGAGCCACUUCUCUGUGCAAGUAGCUGAGUGUUCAUCCUCGGUGCAGUAAAUCUUCUGUUGAUGCAUUAUGUUUGGGGAUGCCCAAUAUAUGCAUGGUAAGAAGCACCCUGGAACGUUUUGCUUGGAAGAUAAUUACCGUUACGAUGUGGAACUCUUAAGUUUUAAUAUGCAUGCACUCCCGAACCGUUUGCUGUUGUGAUAAUUUACGUUACGGUGUUUAACUCUAUGGAGUAAUCUGUUGCACUGGAACAUGUCUGUUGUUACAAUAUAGCCAGUUCUCUCUUGAAAAAACAACAACAACAUAUUUAAUAUAUUUAAUAAUCCUGCUCUAUGACCAUUUAUUUUAAACAGUGUAUACGUAAUGGUCUUUGUGUUCAAUGAACGCUGUGCAAUACUCAUGCCCACUGCUAUUCUUGAGCCACCGGUGUAAAUGUUGCGUUGUUAUUGCAGGGGGCAAGUUUAAUUCUUCCGAAGUAGUUCUCAGGUUAAUCGACCGUAGAAGGUCGGCGACCGGAUGCUACCCACGGUGUGAUGGUUCGCACCACUGGACUCGCAAAUCCAGAGGUCGCCAGUUGAAUCAACGGCGAAGGUUCUUUAUUCCGCCCGCCGCUGUCCACCCAGCAGUAUGAAUCAGCACGCCACAUUUGGUUAUAUCAGUAGGUGGCGUGUGGUGGGGCAAAGUGUGGGCAAUCCCGGCUCUACCAAGACACGCAUUCAGCAUGGAAGAGUAGGCCAACAUCCCCCUCCAGAAGAGUGGGAUCAUCCAGAGCGCCCCUAUAGUGGGGACCUUUUCUGCGAGCAGUGGUGUUCGCGAGACAUUGCAGGCCUGCACCUUUACCAUUCUUGUUAUUUCGGGGUGAUCAUUUAAGUCAACCUUGGCCGCGAUUUGAACUUGCAUUCUUAUAGUUGGGAGCCCUGGUAUUGUAACAACAAAACACACAUGACACCCUGCGCAUAUUUCAAACUCAAGACGGGAAAGAAAAAAACUCACAUCAGUUUGAUGCGACUGCACUUCAUUUCUCUACAUUUUCUGAGUAGUCCUUAUACACACACACAACAUGUGCAUUCAAUGCCCUUGCAUUUCAUAUUCGUUGGCAUAUUUGACAUUUUACCCUGUAAAAUAUGCCAAAUAAACGUUUGAAUUAUAUUGAUCGUAGGAAAGUGUGCGGCGAUAUUUAAUGCCCGAUGAA